This 267-nucleotide long non-coding RNA is filed under the name Lathyrus oleraceus (garden pea). RNAcentral's name for it is "Pisum sativum (pea) long non-coding RNA (PSAT_LNC036547)". Lineage: Eukaryota; Viridiplantae; Streptophyta; Magnoliopsida; Fabales; Fabaceae. The record is from RNAcentral.
AAAAAUCUUGGACUUUGACCUCUCUCUUUUGAGCCCAAAAAGUCACAAAAAUCAGGUUAUAAAUUCUAGACUUCCAUCUCCCAAAAAACCCUGGGAGAAAGAUAGUGAGAGAAGAGCUAACAGAGUUCAGAGCAACCUCCAGAGACUGAAAGGAACUCAUCUGCAAAGAGCCAAUUCCAUCUCAUAUAAACCCUCAGAUUGCUUUGCAAACCCAACCGGGCAAUUCAAUUUCAUUCGAUCUCUCCAAUCAGGUUUGCCCUAUUUCCA